RNA transcript from Sapajus apella (tufted capuchin), 453 nucleotides. It is a transcript of the gene named dynein light chain Tctex-type 3 pseudogene, with no coding region annotated. The transcript is spliced from 2 exons. The record is from RefSeq and is a predicted model, not a curated record. Lineage: Eukaryota; Metazoa; Chordata; Mammalia; Primates; Cebidae.
AUGGUACAUGAAGAGUUUGGCCUCAGAAUCUGGAGAGCCGGUGCUACCACAGAGCAAUACCAUCACCACUGCGAUGAGGUUGGUUUCAAUGCUGAGGAAGCUCACAAUAUUGUCAAAGAGUGUGUAGAUGGGGUUUUAAGUGGUGAAGAUUAUAAUCACAACAUUAACCAGUGGACCGCAAGCAUAGUGGAACAAUCCUUAAUACAUCUGGUUAAGUUGAGAAAAGCUUACAAAAAUAUUGUGACCUGUGCAGUGGUCCAGAAGAGUGCAUAUGGCUUUCACACAGCCAGCUCUGGUUUUUGGGAUACCACACCUGAUGGAACCUGUACCAUAAGAUGGGAGAACCAGACCAUGAAAUGUGUUGUAAACGUUUUUACCAUUGCUAUUGUUCUUUAACUGACUAAAAAUACUAGGCUAAAGUCAUUAACUUAAGAAUUUGUCAGUGUAUCCUUU